GACGAACGCUGGCGGCGUGCCUAAUGAAUGCGAGUCGAACGAGAUCCAGGUGGAGUCUUCGGACAAUACCUGGUGACAGUGGCGAACGGGUGAGUAACACGUGGGUAACCUGCCCUUCAGUCGGGCAUAACAGGGGGAAACCCCUGCUAAUUCCCGAUAUGCUUACGCGGCACAAGUCGCGUAAGGAAAGCUCCGGCGCUGAAGGAUGGACCCGCGGUCGAUUAGCUAGUUGGUGAGGUAACGGCUCACCAAGGCGAUGAUCGAUAGCCGACCUGAGAGGUUGAUCGGCCACAUUGGGACUGAGACACGGUCCAGACUCCUACGGGAGGCAGCAGUGAGGAAUCUUGCGCAAUGGGGGAAACCCUGACGCAGCAACGCCGCGUGAGUGAGGAAGGCCUUCGGGUCGUAAAGCUCUGUCAGAUGGGAAGAAAUGGAUGGGGCUAAUAUCGCCCAUCCUUGACGGUACCAUCAGAGGAAGCACCGGCUAACUCCGUGCCACG
This 500-nucleotide ribosomal RNA is filed under the name uncultured bacterium. RNAcentral's name for it is "bacterial SSU rRNA". It matches the Rfam family "Bacterial small subunit ribosomal RNA", at positions 28 to 512 of the family's 1533-position model. The record is from RNAcentral.